RNAcentral lists this long non-coding RNA (1028 nucleotides) under Oryctolagus cuniculus (rabbit). Its description in RNAcentral is "lncRNA (ENSOCUG00000039212.1)". The record is from RNAcentral. Lineage: Eukaryota; Metazoa; Chordata; Mammalia; Lagomorpha; Leporidae.
AUGGCUCCCGGAAGUGGGUGGCAUGGCUCCCGGAAGUGGGUGGCAUGGCUCCCGGAAGUGGGUGGGAUGGCUCCCGGAAGUGGGGAAAGGCUCCCGGGUCCCCUUCUGCCUCCUGAGAGAGGCGCAGGUUCGCUUUCAGCAGAGGAGGGGCCGGCCGCUAUCUUUGGUGGGACAUCUCUGAUGGCUCUGCGGGAGGGUGUGUCUUCCCCAUUUGCUCCAUCUUGUGCACUGGCAACAUUCCUAAGCUUCCCGGCGCCCCACCCGGACCAACACCCCGCCCGGAUGCCAGAGCAUGUCACGGAGUUCAUGGAAUAUGAAUUUCAAGAUGAACUGAUUUGGGUGCAAGACAUUCUGAAAUUCACGAGUCAUUCUGUAAUGGGCCUUCUCCAUGAACCGUGUGUGUGUGUGUGUGUGUGUGCCCAUGCACAUGUGCGUGGUGUUCCGUUCAGCCUGCCCAGGAUGAGGGACACACCAGCAGAGGAAGCUCCACGGUUUGUGGAAACAGCCAGAAAGACAAGGAACUGCAGGCUGGGGUCUGGGCCGCCGGACAGCGGGGAACUGCAGACCCGCAGGCCCGGAAGUGGGCAGUGAGAGCCGGCUCUCAGGGUGGUGUGGACGGAAGGGCUGGGGGGACUGCAGAGGUGUGUGCGGGGUGCCUUGUGGGGCAGACGUCAUCUUAGCGGGGAAGGGGCAGACGUCCUCUUAGCCGGGAAGGGGCCCGGCUCUGGAGAGGGGCAGGGGCUGAAUCCCCCCCCAAGGCCUGUGCUCCUGCCCUCACUCCUCUGGACCCCCACCCCGCGGGACCUAGGCAGGACUCCGGGGCCAGCUUGGGCUGAGGCAGGGCAGGUCAAGGCCUCUCAAGGUCGGCACUGCCCAGGCCAAGGAGCUGCCAGGGUAUCAUUUAACCCCUCAAGAAGCCCGCGAGGGUGGGUUUUUGGCCCCAUUUCAGAUCGGGAACCAGAGUUCCUGAGCCUCUCAGCUGAGUAAUGGCGGCCACGGCCCUGCUGUGCCCCCAUCGCGGCUCUCCC